RNAcentral lists this transfer RNA (82 nucleotides) under Halorhodospira halophila SL1. It matches the Rfam family "tRNA". From Rfam's summary of the family: Transfer RNA (tRNA) molecules are approximately 80 nucleotides in length. Their secondary structure includes four short double-helical elements and three loops (D, anti-codon, and T loops). The record is from Rfam by way of RNAcentral. Lineage: Bacteria; Pseudomonadati; Pseudomonadota; Gammaproteobacteria; Chromatiales; Ectothiorhodospiraceae.
GCCCAGGUGGCGGAACUGGUAGACGCAGACGACUUAAAAUCGUCAGGCUUCGGCCGUGCCGGUUCGAGUCCGGCCCUGGGCA